GCGUUUGACCUCAAAUCAGGUAGGAU
Molecule: ribosomal RNA, 26 nt
Filed under: Hyphoderma nudicephalum
Lineage: Eukaryota; Fungi; Basidiomycota; Agaricomycetes; Polyporales; Hyphodermataceae
Also listed under: 2 other names
Description: partial 28S ribosomal RNA
Source: RNAcentral